This 255-nucleotide ribosomal RNA is filed under the name uncultured bacterium. RNAcentral describes it as "partial 16S ribosomal RNA". It matches the Rfam family "Bacterial small subunit ribosomal RNA", at positions 524 to 776 of the family's 1533-position model. The record is from RNAcentral.
UACGUAGGGGGCGAGCGUUGUCCGGAUUUAUUGGGCGUAAAGAGCUCGUAGGCGGUUCAGCAAGUCGGGUGUGAAACCUCCAGGCUCAACCUGGAGACGCCACCCGAUACUGCUGUGACUUGAGUCCGGUAGGGGACCACGGGAAUUCCUGGUGUAGCGGUGAAAUGCGCAGAUAUCAGGAGGAACACCGGUGGCGAAGGCGGUGGUCUGGGCCGGCACUGACGCUGAGGAGCGAAAGCGUGGGGAGCGAACAGG